UACGUAGGUGGCAAGCGUUUUCCGGAAUUAUUGGGCGUAAAGCGCGCGCAGGUGGUUCCUUAAGUCUGAUGUGAAAGCCCACGGCUCAACCGUGGAGGGUCAUUGGAAACUGGGGAACUUGAGUGCAGAAGAGGAAAGUGGAAUUCCAAGUGUAGCGGUGAAAUGCGUAGAGAUUUGGAGGAACACCAGUGGCGAAGGCGACUUUCUGGUCUGUAACUGACACUGAGGCGCGAAAGCGUGGGGAGCGAACAGG
This 253-nucleotide ribosomal RNA is filed under the name uncultured bacterium. Its description in RNAcentral is "partial 16S ribosomal RNA". It matches the Rfam family "Bacterial small subunit ribosomal RNA", at positions 524 to 776 of the family's 1533-position model. The record is from RNAcentral.